AACCCCUAUUGUUAGUUGCCAUCAUUCAGUUGGGCACUCUAGCGAGACUGCCGGUAAUAAACCGGAGGAAGGUGGGGAUGACGUCAAAUCAUCAUGCCCCUUAUGACCUGGGCUACACACGUGCUACAAUGGUUGGUACAACGAGUUGCGAGUCGGUGACGGCGAGCUAAUCUCUUAAAGCCAAUCUCAGUUCGGAUUGUAGGCUGCAACUCGCCUACAUGAAGUCGGAAUCGCUAGUAAUCGCGGACUCAGCACGCCGCGGUGAAUACGUUCCCGGGCCUU
This 282-nucleotide ribosomal RNA is filed under the name uncultured Streptococcus sp. Its description in RNAcentral is "partial 16S ribosomal RNA". It matches the Rfam family "Bacterial small subunit ribosomal RNA", at positions 1100 to 1382 of the family's 1533-position model. The record is from RNAcentral. Lineage: Bacteria; Bacillati; Bacillota; Bacilli; Lactobacillales; Streptococcaceae.